Molecule: non-coding RNA, 2931 nt
Organism: Monodelphis domestica (gray short-tailed opossum)
Lineage: Eukaryota; Metazoa; Chordata; Mammalia; Didelphimorphia; Didelphidae
Source: RefSeq, a predicted model, not a curated record
AUCCGAGUCCUUCUCUUAUUUUUGGAAGGGGAUUGGGAGGGGGUGAGCGCCGAGGCCCACAGAAGUUUAGCGACUUCUUGUGUUUCUUACCACCUCGGUAGAUGGGGGACAGGGAGACAAUUUGGAACUCAAGAAACUUAAAAAUCAUUGUAAAAAAAAAUUUUUUUUUAAAGUUUAAUGACCCGCCUAAGGUCCAGUUUUCUCCCCGUUAUACCGAGAGUCCCUUUAAGGCAGAGAUUGGCUCAUAGUAUCUUUGUAUUUCUUGGUAUCACUUAAUAAAUGGUCGUUGACUGAAACAAGUAGUGGCAGAUCUGGAAAUUCAAACUUAUUAUUACAGUGCCUUCUAGGAGUUAAUGAAUGAAAAGGCAUUCAUUAAGGCUUACUUUGGGGGCAAGCAUUGUGCUGAGAUUUGGAGACACAAAUAUAAAAGUGAAGGCUGAACCUGAACCCAAAGAGUUUACAUUUUAAUAGGGCAUAGGGGGAAGUACAGGGGAGAGCGAUUUUUUUUGGAAAAGUUACUAGGAUUAUAAGUGGAAUUAUUAAGGGCUUAGAGUGGCACACACUUUUUAGAAGCAAUGGCAGUAGCCCUGACUUCUGGUCUUGCCCCUGAAGCAUCACUACAGGCAGGACACUUGUCAGUGCUAUGGGCAAACUCUGUGGUACAGAAAAGAUCCCAGAAUUUACUUAAUUUCUUUAGUCUGUACUAAUGAAAUCACAAUCCAGUCUCUAUCCAGAACUGAAGAGUAAGGAACCUGGUUUGGGAGGAACAUCCCAAGAGGAUUGGGACUCAUCUGAAAUAGUGAGCCAGGGGACAUAUUGAUAGUCAUUAGGGAAUGGGGGACAGUGAAGGUAGAGAGAGGAAGAGUGGGUGAAUUCUGAAAGGGUUUUAAUCUUCAGGGCAUAGCCUGUGGUCCAUGUGGCUAGGCAGCUGGCAGGGAAGUGGCUCAAGAUAGGGAGAAAACAUCUAGUUUACUUGCUUCUUUGUUGAACACCUUCAUUUUUCUCUCAUAGGAUCAUCUAGUCCAAUCCAUUUAUUUUACAGAAGAAGAAACUGAGGCCCACAAGUGAAGUAGCUUGCUUAAAUCAUACAGGUAACGAUAGGAAAGUAUUCUACUCCCUGGACCCUCUUCAUAGACUUUCAGAAUUUCUCUUUUGUUUCCUAACAGCCCCUUCCAAGAUGCAAGGUUAUUCUUUCAUCAAACAUUUAUUCAGCAGCAACUAGAAGUACAACAAACAUUACAGAGUCAGCAGAUAAUGUAUUAAGGUUGAUGAAGUCAAGAAGCCUGACCAACAGUUUUUGCAAAGGCCUGGAGCAUGAGCUUUGCAAAGCAGGGUCUGCGCGGGACCUGGGCUCACACAUGGAAUGGAAAAGAAAGAUCCCAGACUCGGGGAAAGGGAUAAAAGGUGGAACCUGAGGACCAGGGGCGUCUGCUGACUGUCGGACACCAGGAGAGCAGGGACUGACUUCCUGUGGCCAUCUUGUGAAGGCUAGAGGGAGUUAACUGCCUUUCCCGACCAAACCUUGGAGGUUCCUGUCAUGGAGCUUGUCACGAGAGGUUUUCCAUUCCUGACCCAGAGGUCAUUACCUGUGGAUUCUGUGAGCUGAGCCAUUCUUGUACGCUCCUGAAUUCUGUGUGUGAGCUGUGGAGGCCCAGUGAAUCUACAAGAGAAGAACCCUACCCUCUUGGGAAGGCCUCAGGCCUCCAGGGGGUGAACUCAACUUGAUAUUGCCAUCUUAUCCUGACGAACUGUUUACUUGUCAGUACUUGUGAGUGGACCACUUAGAACACGAUUUAGUUAGCUAGAUUUUACUAAGGGAGCUGAGAGAGUAGAGGGAGUAGCCAUCAUCCUCUAUGAAGGCAGUCCUUGAGGACGCGGGCUGGAUUUGGGGGGAGAACUGAGAUGAUAAGAUUGAGGGACCCCUGAACCCUGGUCCACUGACCUGAGAUCUGAGUAUUGUAAUAAAACAACUGCUUCAUCACUCUCUGUGAAGCAGUCAGAUUGUACUGUACCAUCAAAGACAGGUUAGGCCUACCUGUGGCCACCAUCUUAACUCCAACCAGCUGAACCAUCACUGGGUUCCUAGGAAGUUACUAACCUACUUCAGCUCCGUACACUAAUUAGGUCAUCGAUCACCUAAAUAUUUCAAAGUGCAGAAUAAAGACUUAUUUGGAAAAUUGUGUGUGUGUGUGGCGGGGGAGAGCUUUCUUUGGGCUAGACUCACAAGGUAAAGGCCCAAUAGCAUUGGGCUCUGUGAGAACAUGGGCUAUUUCUGUUGUCUUAGUCCUGCACCUAGCACAGUGCCUUGUACAAAGAAAAUGCUUAAUUAUUAUUGGAUUGGACUGAAUCAGAUUGAAAAGGUGUCUGGGAAUAACUGAGAGGAAGGAGCAAAGAUGCAAGAAAACCUCUGGGGAUGCUAUACUUGUCUUAGAAAAUAUCUUCCCUACAUAAAAACAGCAACCCACAAGUAUUUAAUGAAUGCCUACCAAUCCUUCAGUCAAUGUUGCUGUCAAGGUUCUAAGGAUACGAAAUACAUUAAUGAGACCGCGUGUAUUAGAAGGGGUAUAAAGGCCAUUUUCCAGUAUAUGGAUGAGGCGGUGGGCUGGCAAGUAGUGAGAAUGAGGGAAAGCAGAGAGAACAGGAAUAGCCACCGGUGCUGCCAGGGGGCCAAAGGGAUUUGAAAGAGGAAGGCCUCCCUCACACUGAAUAUAUCUCCUUGGGAAACUUGGACAAGUCACCUAUCAUCCAGAGUAGAGGAGUUGUGAUCUGUGUUGAUAGAGGGAGCCUCCUCGUCAAAGAAAAUAGAGAUGUUGCAAAAUAAGGGAAUCAAGAAUGGAUCACACUAAUCAGGAGUUGAUUUAGUCUCUGAGUCAGAAUGGAUUUUAGAAUAUAGAUUGUCUAUGCCUACUAGAAUUGGGCACUCUAUGGGUG